This is a long non-coding RNA of Aedes aegypti (yellow fever mosquito), 617 nucleotides long. RefSeq lists it as uncharacterized. NCBI's taxonomy places the organism in Eukaryota, Metazoa, Arthropoda, Insecta, Diptera, Culicidae. The record is from RefSeq and is a predicted model, not a curated record. The transcript has 3 exons.
UCUACCGAAGUGCUACGCCGACAAAGCCAUUCCUUAUGCAUCGGCGAAGCACUAAAUUAGAAUGCUGACGCUGAAGUUCACCGAAUUUUUGACUGCCGAAGUGUGCUUGCCUUAUAUCACUUGUUGAUUACAUCGGGGCAUCACUGUACUCAACCAUGCAUUCACAAUGAAAUGAGAAGCGAGAAGUGAGAAACCGAGUAGGCAAUAUGCGCGCCAGUUCAUCUCUGUAGAGGAGUAUGAAUGCAUCAAUUUGAAUCAAUGUAAAUAAAAACAAAAACAAACCAAUGUGCAUUCUGCAAAUAGUAGGUGAUAAAUUAUCCAGAAACAAAUCGAUUUAAAUUGUGAUCCCGUAGCAGAAAAUCACUUAAUUAGGUGUCAACAAGUGGUGGAGAGCCUGAACUAGUGACCUAGCUACAUAUACACGAUUGUUGGAAGGAGAAAAACAAAGCGAUAAUCUGGAAGUAAAAUUCGAGUCAACCGAUUAGCGUUUUUGUUAUCGCCACGAAUAGUUAAAAUAUAUCGCAAGAGGAGCAGGAAACUAUUUCUUGUAAGUGUAAGGAAAAUUUGUUAAAACCUUUAAUCAAUGGAAUAUAUCUUUUUAGUUUGAGCUGACCAUU